This 301-nucleotide ribosomal RNA is filed under the name uncultured bacterium. RNAcentral's name for it is "partial 16S ribosomal RNA". It matches the Rfam family "Bacterial small subunit ribosomal RNA", at positions 511 to 809 of the family's 1533-position model. The record is from RNAcentral.
AUCGCCGCGGUAAUACGAAGGGGGCUAGCGUUGUUCGGAUUUACUGGGCGUAAAGCGCACGUAGGCGGAUCGAUCAGUCGGGGGUGAAAGCCCGGGGCUCAACCCCGGAACUGCCCUCGAAACUAGGUAGCUAGAGUCUUGGAGAGGUCAGUGGAAUUCCGAGUGUAGAGGUGAAAUUCGUAGAUAUUCGGAAGAACACCAGUGGCGAAGGCGGCCCGCUGGACAUGUAUUGACGCUGAGGUGCGAAAGCGUGGGGAGCAAACAGGAUUAGAUACCCCUGUAGUCCCUGUCUCUUAUACAC